CCUACGGGUGGCAGCAGUGGGGAAUAUUGGACAAUGGGCGAAAGCCUGAUCCAGCCAUGCCGCGUGUGUGAAGAAGGCCUUCGGGUUGUAAAGCACUUUCAGUGGGGAAGAAAGCCUUGGGGCUAAUACCCUCGAGGAAGGACAUCACCUACAGAAGAAGCACCGGCUAACUCCGUGCCAGCAGCCGCGGUAAUACGGAGGGUGCGAGCGUUAAUCGGAAUUACUGGGCGUAAAGCGCGCGUAGGCGGUCUGAUAAGCCGGUUGUGAAAGCCCCGGGCUCAACCUGGGAACGGCAUCCGGAACUGUCAGGCUAGAGUGCAGGAGAGGAAGGUAGAAUUCCCGGUGUAGCGGUGAAAUGCGUAGAGAUCGGGAGGAAUACCAGUGGCGAAGGCGGCCUUCUGGACUGACACUGACGCUGAGGUGCGAAAGCGUGGGUAGCAAACAGGAUUAGAUACCCCGGUAGUC
This 465-nucleotide ribosomal RNA is filed under the name Vreelandella stevensii. RNAcentral describes it as "partial 16S ribosomal RNA". It matches the Rfam family "Bacterial small subunit ribosomal RNA", at positions 338 to 795 of the family's 1533-position model. Lineage: Bacteria; Pseudomonadati; Pseudomonadota; Gammaproteobacteria; Oceanospirillales; Halomonadaceae. The record is from RNAcentral.